CCUAGACAUAUAUUGUAGCAUGUAACCUUUGGAUGCUCUUCUAGCUGAGGAUUCAAUUCUGUUGAGAAGCCUGGAUAUAUAUGUAUGUAUGUAUGCAUGCAUGCUUGAGGCAAGAUGUUACAAUGAUGGGGUGUGUUUGUCAUGAUAUAGAAUGGCUUGGGCUCAGUCUGCAUCCAGGGGUCAAGUGGAAACCCCAACCGGUAAUGAAG
RNAcentral lists this long non-coding RNA (209 nucleotides) under Elaeis guineensis (African oil palm). RNAcentral describes it as "long non-coding RNA (EGUI_LNC013263)". The record is from RNAcentral. Lineage: Eukaryota; Viridiplantae; Streptophyta; Magnoliopsida; Arecales; Arecaceae.